UCUAUAUAAUUGUAAAAUUUGGUAAGAUGUUCUCUGUAUAAAGUGAUGCAGCAAGUGUGGAAUCUCAUCGUUCUUCCGAUAGUUUUUUUUCCCACAUGGUUAUGGUUUAUUGUUUUUAAAUAUUAGGGUUUAUUAUUUUUGCCAUUAUAUUGCCGGUCUUUUUGAUAUUAGGGUUCACUUAUUAAUGGUGGUUUUGGGUUUGCAGGUAAUACACCCGAAAAAGUCAGGACUUUUUGGCUUUGCUGAAAACUAAUACCGGGCUAAUAAGAAAUAUUUCCAAGAUGACUUUUUUUUUGCACGAUAUUAUUAAAAACUAAUCACGGAAAUAUUGACAUGUUUGUUUUCGUUUUUAGACUUCUUUUUUUUCGUUGGUAUUUUGAUCAUUCGAUUGAUAAAAUCCUGGGUUUUUGUUCUUAAUGGAACUUUGAGUUCUUAUUUGACUUUAAUAUAGUGGUUUUUGAUUUGCAGGUGCUAACUGUGCUUCUGGGAUUCUAAUCGUAGCAAAUUAACAAUUGGUGAAACCAUAAAUAUAUCAGUUUUCGUAGCUAUAUGGAAAUUCCCUCAUGCUUUAUUUGCUCUGACAUGGAGUGUCGUUGCUUCUUUCUUUGAUCUGGCAGACAUGUUACAUCUUUACUGCUUUCUUCGAGCUGACGUUUAUUUUCCUUACUGUUGUUCUUGAUCUGAUAGGUAUUUUGUAAGUCGAUUGGUGGCUGGCGCAGUAAAUGUUCUUUCAAUGUAACGGUUACUUCACAAGCUAUUUAUCUCUCGGCUACUGUGAUCGAUUCAGUCCGAACUAAUUCUCUCAAAUUUGUCUGCAACAACAAGAAGUAAAAUGAUCCCAGUAAUCCCAUUACAAAUAAGAUUUGAAAUCACUGAUUGUUGUGGCCAUAGUUGCUUAUAAUAUCCCAAUUAUUGUCACAUGGUGCUUCAGAAGAACCAACACAUCAGGUGGCUAUAGUGUUUAUGUAUCUUUCUGUGUUGCUUCUUUAGGGGCUUGGUGCGCGUUUUUUUGGUAUCCCAAUUAUCUCCCGUUGUAACAUGGAGCUUUAAGAGAACCAGUACCAGGUGGUGAUGUUUUUAUAACUACGGUGGUAGAUACCAUUGCCGUAACAUGGCGUUUGAUAGAUCGAAGAUGGUGAUAUUUUUGCCAUCCGAUUGAUGCCCCAUGUAAAUAUUACACUAUAACACCAGUUAUAUAUAUUUAUUCUCAUUGGGAUUGUAGUUUCCAUUUAUUGUGUAGCUUUAGGUGAUGUGCAUGGUACAUGAUUCUUUGAAAACAAAAUAAUGUUUAAA
Long non-coding RNA from Papaver somniferum (opium poppy), 1293 nucleotides. RefSeq lists it as uncharacterized. NCBI's taxonomy places the organism in Eukaryota, Viridiplantae, Streptophyta, Magnoliopsida, Ranunculales, Papaveraceae. The record is from RefSeq and is a predicted model, not a curated record. The transcript is spliced from 6 exons.